Long non-coding RNA from Myotis brandtii (Brandt's bat), 633 nucleotides. RefSeq lists it as uncharacterized. The record is from RefSeq and is a predicted model, not a curated record. NCBI's taxonomy places the organism in Eukaryota, Metazoa, Chordata, Mammalia, Chiroptera, Vespertilionidae. The transcript is spliced from 3 exons.
AACGCUCAACCACUGAGGCCCGCCCGCCAGGUGAGGAAUGGCUUCUUGUGGGCUCUUCCUACAGCUACAUCCCUGAAGUUUCCCCUGCAAACCCUGUUCUCACUUUCAGGGAUUUCCGUCUCUACGACUUAGUGUCCCAGGGGACACUCCUACGAGGGGCAGUGCGUGCUGGGCUGGCAUCAUUGCAUGUUUAUGACAUGAACGGGUGUGCCACCUCUUCCUGCCUCUUUUUCAAUUUCCAUAAAAGUCCGGAAUAAAGAAAUCGCAGUAUUUAGCUCCAUCCGUCCGGGCUGUUAGCAGGUGAUGGCGCUGGGACCGGCGGCAAGGACAAGACGGGACAGCACAGCACUGGACAGACUCUGAGGCCCGCCCGGGCCUCGUCUGGGCUCUGCCACUGAGGAGCCAGGAAGAGGAACUCCAACUCAGGUCUCUUCAGCGGUUAAAUGAGGGGUCUGCAUUCUGCGGUCAGGAUUCCACGGCGGAUCUUUGCCAUCCAGCAGAGCCUUGGAGAGUGUGCGGUAAGAAUCAGUCUCAAGUGUACCGUGACUGUGGUGGCCCCACAAAUCCUCACAGACUGAUUAAAUUGCACAGAGUUGAACACACACACACACACACACACACACACACACACAC